Molecule: ribosomal RNA, 462 nt
Filed under: uncultured bacterium
Lineage: Bacteria
Description: bacterial SSU rRNA
Rfam family: Bacterial small subunit ribosomal RNA
Source: RNAcentral
AGGAGGCAGCAGUAAGGAAUAUUGGACAAUGGGGGAAACCCUGAUCCAGCGAUGCCGCGUGUGUGAAGAAGGCCUUAGGGUUGUAAAGCACUUUUAAUCGGGAAGAAAAGCAAUGGGUUAAUACCCCGUUGUAUUGACGUUACUGAUAGAAAAAGCACCGGCUAACUCUGUGCCAGCAGCCGCGGUAAUACAGAGGGUGCAAGCGUUAAUCGGAAUUACUGGGCGUAAAGCGUGCGUAGGCGGCAAAUUAAGUCUGAUGUGAAAUCCCCGAGCUUAACUUGGGAACUGCAUCAGAUACUGGUUUGCUAGAGUAAGGUAGAGGAAAGCGGAAUUCCAGGUGUAGCGGUGAAAUGCGUAGAUAUCUGGAGGAACACCGGUGGCGAAGGCGGCUUUCUGGACUUAUACUGACGCUGAGGCACGAAAGCGUGGGGAUCAAACAGGAUUAGAAACCCCGGUAGUCCC